Molecule: ribosomal RNA, 433 nt
Filed under: Shigella sonnei
Lineage: Bacteria; Pseudomonadati; Pseudomonadota; Gammaproteobacteria; Enterobacterales; Enterobacteriaceae
Description: partial 23S ribosomal RNA
Rfam family: Bacterial large subunit ribosomal RNA
Source: RNAcentral
GAAGGCUAUGUUGGCCGGGCGACGGUUGUCCCGGUUUAAGCGUGUAGGCUGGUUUUCCAGGCAAAUCCGGAAAAUCAAGGCUGAGGCGUGAUGACGAGGCACUACGGUGCUGAAGCAACAAAUGCCCUGCUUCCAGGAAAAGCCUCUAAGCAUCAGGUAACAUCAAAUCGUACCCCAAACCGACACAGGUGGUCAGGUAGAGAAUACCAAGGCGCUUGAGAGAACUCGGGUGAAGGAACUAGGCAAAAUGGUGCCGUAACUUCGGGAGAAGGCACGCUGAUAUGUAGGUGAAGUCCCUUGCGGAUGGAGCUGAAAUCAGUCGAAGAUACCAGCUGGCUGCAACUGUUUAUUAAAAACACAGCACUGUGCAAACACGAAAGUGGACGUAUACGGUGUGACGCCUGCCCGGUGCCGGAAGGUUAAUUGAUGGGGU